RNAcentral lists this ribosomal RNA (506 nucleotides) under uncultured bacterium. RNAcentral describes it as "partial 16S ribosomal RNA". It matches the Rfam family "Bacterial small subunit ribosomal RNA", at positions 29 to 523 of the family's 1533-position model. The record is from RNAcentral.
AUUGAACGCUGGCGGCAGGCCUAACACAUGCAAGUCGGACGGUAGCACAGAGGAGCUUGCUCCUCGGGUGACGAGUGGCGGACGGGUGAGUAAUGUCUGGGGAUCUGCCCGAUAGAGGGGGAUAACCACUGGAAACGGUGGCCAAUACCGCAUAACGUCGCAAGACCAAAGAGGGGGACCUUCGGGCCUCUCGCUAUCGGAUGAACCCAGAUGGGAAUAGCUAGUAGGCGGGGUAACGGCCCACCUAGGCGACGAUCCCUAGCUGGUCCGAGAGGAUGACCAGCCACACUGGAACUGAGACACGGUCCAGACUCCUACGGGAGGCAGCAGUGGGGAAUAUUGCACAAUGGGCGCAAGCCUGAUGCAGCCAUGCCGCGUGUAUGAAGAAGGCCUUCGGGUUGUAAAGUACUUUCAGCGGGGAGGAAGGCGAUAAGGUUAAUAACCUUGUCGAUUGACGUUACCCGCAGAAGAAGCACCGGCUAACUCCGUGCCAGCCGCCGCCGUAA